RNAcentral lists this transfer RNA (71 nucleotides) under Hydropsyche rhomboana. Its description in RNAcentral is "tRNA-Leu". The record is from RNAcentral. Lineage: Eukaryota; Metazoa; Arthropoda; Insecta; Trichoptera; Hydropsychidae.
AUUAUUUUGGCAGAUUUGAUGUAAUGAAUUUAGAAUUCAUUUAAAUAUAAUGAAAUAUUAUAUAGAUAAUA